RNAcentral lists this ribosomal RNA (744 nucleotides) under uncultured bacterium. RNAcentral's name for it is "bacterial SSU rRNA". It matches the Rfam family "Bacterial small subunit ribosomal RNA", at positions 8 to 796 of the family's 1533-position model. The record is from RNAcentral.
AGAGUUUGAUCAUGGCUCAGAACGAACGCUGGCGGCAUGCCUAACACAUGCAAGUCGAACGCCUGUAGCAAUACAGGAGUGGCGCACGGGUGAGUAACGCGUGGGAACCUGCCCUGGAGUGGGGGAUAACCGAGAGAAAUUUCGGCUAAUACCGCAUACGACCUGAGGGUGAAAGAUUUAUCGCUCUAGGAGGGGCCCGCGUCGGAUUAGCUAGUUGGUGGGGUAAUGGCCUACCAAGGCUACGAUCCGUAGCUGGUCUGAGAGGAUGAUCAGCCACACUGGGACUGAGACACGGCCCAGACUCCUACGGGAGGCAGCAGUGGGGAAUAUUGGACAAUGGGGGCAACCCUGAUCCAGCAAUGCCGCGUGAGUGAUGAAGGCCUUAGGGUUGUAAAGCUCUUUCGGCGGGGACGAUGAUGACGGUACCCGCAGAAGAAGCCCCGGCUAACUUCGUGCCAGCAGCCGCGGUAAUACGAAGGGGGCGAGCGUUGUUCGGAAUUACUGGGCGUAAAGGGCGCGCAGGCGGCUCUGAAAGUCAGAUGUGAAAGCCCCGGGCUUAACCUGGGAAUUGCAUUUGAUACUCUAGAGCUUGAGUACGGGAGAGGAGAGUGGAAUUCCCAGUGUAGAGGUGAAAUUCGUAGAUAUUGGGAAGAACACCGGUGGCGAAGGCGGCUCUCUGGACCGUAACUGACGCUGAGGCGCGAAAGCGUGGGGAGCAAACAGGAUUAGAUACCCUAGUAGUCC